GGGAUGGCGAGCGGCCUCAGCACAAGACCCUGUGGGUUCAGCGGUGCGCGGGAUGCGGGUCCGCCUCUGGCGUGCGAUGGACCACGUGGCCUUGAAUUGAGUGGCCGCCGCCGCUGUGCUGAUUCAUCCCCAGAACAACAAAGCGAUGCGCAGGUGGCCCCAUCGGAGCUGCUGGCGCCCCUCCCUGAGGCCCGGCCCCUCAGAGCCCUCAGCACCUUCGCAUGUAGCAGGCGUUUGCAAGCAUCUGGCAAGACUGCCAGCUUGGUGAUGCAAUUCAGAGGGGCAUAGGAACCUGGCAGGUGGACGACAGGGCUCGAAAGGAGACAUCGCAUUACAUCUUUCUAUGCUUCUGAUGCUUGAACUAUGUAAAUGUGCUCCCUCUUCAAGAAAUCAAAUACAUUUUAUUUUUAAAAUCAUGGCAAAAAUGUUUGAUUUGGAAAAACAGGAUUAUAUUGAAAUAAGGAAAAUACUGGUUAUAUUGAAAGAAGGUUGCUGAUUAGGAUAAUUAGAGCGGAAGUUGACAUUUGAUGCAGGCACAGUUUGAAGAUGACGGGCUUUGAACUAUUAAUUAUGUUAAAUUGCUUUCUCAGUCAGUUCUACGGUAACUCCCCUGACGAUAUAGACAGCUCCACUGUCUACUGCCCCUUCUGAGGUCUGCACUGGUUGCUGCCAGCAGAACACGGCUUGUCCCACCUGCCAUGCGCUUGGUUGAAAGAUGCUGGCCACAGGGACUCAGGUCCCUCAGUGAUGCCCGAUGGUCUCUGAGUGUCACCCCUCCUCCUUCAACUGCCCUCGGUGGGUGGUCUGAUAGUCAAGGAUGCGGCUGAGAAAAGCGUCUGGGCCUUCAUCUGAAAGAGAUUGUUUCGGUGUGUGGUUUGAAAACUCCGCUGGGCAUCCCCAGACGGAGGCAUCCCGAGAAGGAGCUCCGCUGUUUAAGAGCAUUUUGUUCCUGACGUUUUAAAGCAUAGGUGACAGCUCUCAAUCCGUGGGUUGUCAUCCUCACCUCCAGAAAACCACAUUUCUUAUUGUUUGUGGCACCUAAGUCCCCCGUCUCUAGAACUCCCCCUGUGGAAGCGAGCCUUCGGCAGAAUCUCAGAUCCACAGAGCCGGGGCCCCCACCGUCAGCUCUACCAUUUGUACCCAGGUUUGGGAUAGAUGGGAUGCAGACGGAGAUGAGAGAAUUCAGCUACCUCCCACCUCGCAAAAAGCAGCAAAGCAGAUGGUUCAUCCUGACGGACCAGCAGAACUUAGAGGAGCCAAAGCCCCAAAGACAGAGCCGUUCCUAGAACCGGGGAAUUUAGCCGUCCUUCUAGUCCUCCCUUCUGUCAGCCUCAUCCGCAGGACCACUGGCAAGGCUGAUUUCGAAUGAAUCAUCCUCGGCAUUUGCCCCCCUUCAAACUGCUUAUCCGUCACUUCAGGGAACUUGCUCCUUGUCCUCAGCGGCAUGCGGUAUCAGCUCAGACACUGUCCCCAGACCACAGAGUUGAAGAAAAUCCUGCAUUAUGUAUACAUAUACACAUGUGCAUUUAUUUCAAAUUGUCUACGUGUCGAUAAACUCAGCAGCUUGGCAGUGAAGGGCUUUACCACAGCCUUUCGGUCACUUAGCAGCCUGUGUUCGUCCAAGAGAGGUUAGAUGUGUGGCUUAGAGACGACCUUUAAAAAGCACUGAGACAUUCAUUUUCGCCACAGCUCUAGCAGCGUCACUUCUACUUAGGAGACCUGCAUAUUUCUUGACACUUUAAAAUUUUUUUUCUUGAUCCAGUAGCAUAUUGUUUAAAUUUUUUAUUUAUUUUUUAAUUACUCAAUGAAUUUUAUCACGUUCGUAGUUGCACAAUGAUCAUCACAACCCGAUUUUAUAGCAUCCUCGACACCUUCGAACGUUCGUAAACUGUGUUCAUGAUAACAUCUCCUUCUGCUUUAAGACAACGCCGGCCCCUUCAGCGAGUGUGUCUUCAAGGCACAGAGCUAGAGUGUCUUCACUUCUCAUCAAAUCCAGGCACACGCUUGACGGUGAGUGGAAAUCGGGCUUACGGCCCCCACGCCCAGCGCCCUGGUAGGCAGAGUGAGCGGGCCGCUGAGAAAGAGCUGAGCCGCCACACCUUGCCCAGGCGGUGGCCCCAGACCCACACCCUUCUUGUCGGGUCCGCAAUCCUCGAUCUGCUGCUCGGAAAUCAAAGGGCCCUGGAAAGCAAGACUUUUCAGUGGCAUGUCUGGUCCUCACGCUGAUGGUCCCAUCUCACCAAGUGGGACUGUUAAUAGCCGGGUUGCAGGUGCUGCCCCAGACCCACUGCAGGUGUGAGGUGAGGGCAUGUGCUCCCCCAGUAGGUUUCUAAAACCAAAACGUCUAACCUUUGAAACCCAUCUGGCGCCAAACUUUUUGGAUAAGGAAUCGUGAACUGCACAUUUCCUUAUAACACUAAAGACAUUCUCAAAGUCAGCGGGGGUGGUAGCAGGUUUAACAUUCUCUCUCCUGUAUGGGCGGCUGGAUGUGCUCACAACACCUUGUGCAAAAUUAUAACACGUAGCACAAC
Molecule: long non-coding RNA, 2531 nt
Filed under: Sus scrofa (pig)
Lineage: Eukaryota; Metazoa; Chordata; Mammalia; Artiodactyla; Suidae
Description: lncRNA (ENSSSCG00050030286.1)
Source: RNAcentral